GGAGGUGCGGCUCAAGUGAUAGAGCACCUGUCUGUCAAAUGCAAGACCCUGAGUUCAAAUCUCAGUUCUGCCA
This 73-nucleotide transfer RNA is filed under the name Dipodomys ordii (Ord's kangaroo rat). It matches the Rfam family "tRNA". Rfam says of the family: Transfer RNA (tRNA) molecules are approximately 80 nucleotides in length. The record is from Rfam by way of RNAcentral. Lineage: Eukaryota; Metazoa; Chordata; Mammalia; Rodentia; Heteromyidae.